UACGUAGGGGGCAAGCGUUGUCCGGAUUUAUUGGGCGUAAAGGGUUCGUAGGCGGUCGACUCAGUCAGACGUGAAAUCCCUCGGCUUAACCGGGGAACUGCGUCUGAUACUGGUUGGCUUGAGUGCAGGAGAGGAAUGCGGAAUUCCAGGUGUAGCGGUGAAAUGCGUAGAUAUCUGGAGGAACACCGGUGGCGAAGGCGGCAUUCUGGACUGUAACUGACGCUGAGGAACGAAAGCCAGGGGAGCAAACGGG
This 253-nucleotide ribosomal RNA is filed under the name uncultured bacterium. RNAcentral's name for it is "partial 16S ribosomal RNA". It matches the Rfam family "Bacterial small subunit ribosomal RNA", at positions 524 to 776 of the family's 1533-position model. The record is from RNAcentral.